RNAcentral lists this ribosomal RNA (808 nucleotides) under uncultured bacterium. RNAcentral's name for it is "bacterial SSU rRNA". It matches the Rfam family "Bacterial small subunit ribosomal RNA", at positions 56 to 859 of the family's 1533-position model. The record is from RNAcentral.
UGCAAGUCGAGCGGUAGAGAGAAGCUUGCUUCUCUUGAGAGCGGCGGACGGGUGAGUAAUGCCUAGGAAUCUGCCUGGUAGUGGGGGAUAACGUUCGGAAACGGACGCUAAUACCGCAUACGUCCUACGGGAGAAAGCAGGGGACCUUCGGGCCUUGCGCUAUCAGAUGAGCCUAGGUCGGAUUAGCUAGUUGGUGAGGUAAUGGCUCACCAAGGCGACGAUCCGUAACUGGUCUGAGAGGAUGAUCAGUCACACUGGAACUGAGACACGGUCCAGACUCCUACGGGAGGCAGCAGUGGGGAAUAUUGGACAAUGGGCGAAAGCCUGAUCCAGCCAUGCCGCGUGUGUGAAGAAGGUCUUCGGAUUGUAAAGCACUUUAAGUUGGGAGGAAGGGCAGUUGCCUAAUACGUAACUGUUUUGACGUUACCGACAGAAUAAGCACCGGCUAACUCUGUGCCAGCAGCCGCGGUAAUACAGAGGGUGCAAGCGUUAAUCGGAAUUACUGGGCGUAAAGCGCGCGUAGGUGGUUUGUUAAGUUGGAUGUGAAAUCCCCGGGCUCAACCUGGGAACUGCAUUCAAAACUGACCGACUAGAGUAUGGUAGAGGGUGGUGGAAUUUCCUGUGUAGCGGUGAAAUGCGUAGAUAUAGGAAGGAACACCAGUGGCGAAGGCGACCACCUGGACUAAUACUGACACUGAGGUGCGAAAGCGUGGGGAGCAAACAGGAUUAGAUACCCUGGUAGUCCACGCCGUAAACGAUGUCAACUAGCCGUUGGAAGCCUUGAGCUUUUAGUGGCGCAGCUAACGCA